Molecule: ribosomal RNA, 253 nt
Filed under: uncultured bacterium
Lineage: Bacteria
Description: partial 16S ribosomal RNA
Rfam family: Bacterial small subunit ribosomal RNA
Source: RNAcentral
UACGGGGGGUGCAAGCGUUAUUCGGAAUUAUUGGGCGUAAAGGGCGCGUAGGCGGUUGAAUAAGUCAGAUGUGAAAGCCCUUGGCUUAACCAAGCAAGUGCAUGUGAUACUAUUUGACUUGAGUAUGGGAGAGGGAAGUGGAAUUCCUGGUGUAGAGGUGAAAUUCGUAGAUAUCAGGAGGAACACCGGUGGCGGAAGCGACUUCCUGGACCAAUACUGACGCUGAGGCGCGAAGGCGUGGGGAGCAUACAGG